CCUACGGGUGGCUGCAGUGGGGAAUAUUGCACAAUGGGCGCAAGCCUGAUGCAGCCAUGCCGCGUGUGUGAAGAAGGCCUUCGGGUUGUAAAGCACUUUCAGCGGGGAGGAAGGCGUUAAGGUUAAUAACCUUGUCGAUUGGCGUUACCCGCAGAAGAAGCACCGGCUAACUCCGUGCCAGCAGCCGCGGUAAUACGGAGGGUGCAAGCGUUAAUCGGAAUUACUGGGCGUAAAGCGCACGCAGGCGGUCUGUCAAGUCGGAUGUGAAAUCCCCGGGCUCAACCUGGGAACUGCAUUCGAAACUGGCAGGCUAGAGUCUUGUAGAGGGGGGUAGAAUUCCAGGUGUAGCGGUGAAAUGCGUAGAGAUCUGGAGGAAUACCGGUGGCGAAGGCGGCCCCCUGGACAAAGACUGACGCUCAGGUGCGAAAGCGUGGGGAGCAAACAGGAUUAGAUACCCCGGUAGUC
RNAcentral lists this ribosomal RNA (465 nucleotides) under uncultured Klebsiella sp. Its description in RNAcentral is "bacterial SSU rRNA". It matches the Rfam family "Bacterial small subunit ribosomal RNA", at positions 338 to 795 of the family's 1533-position model. The record is from RNAcentral. Lineage: Bacteria; Pseudomonadati; Pseudomonadota; Gammaproteobacteria; Enterobacterales; Enterobacteriaceae.